AACAAGGAUUCCCCUAGUAACGGCGAGUGAAGAGGGAAGAGCUCAAAUUUGAAAGCUGGUACCUUCGGUAUCCGCGUUGUAACCUCGAGACACGUUUUCCGUGCGGCGCUAUGGACAAGUUCCUUGGAACAGGACAUCGUAGAGGGUGAAAAUCCCGUACUUGCCAUGGAUGUACCGUGCUUUGCGAUACGUGCUCUAAGAGUCGAGUUGUUUGGGAUUGCAGCUCAAAAUGGGUGGUAGACUCCAUCUAAAGCUAAAUAUCGGGGAGAGACCGAUAGCGAACAAGUACCGUGAGGGAAAGAUGAAAAGCACUUUGGAAAGAGAGUUAAAAGUACGUGAAAUUGUCGAAAGGGAAGCGCUUGAAGUCAGCCAUGCCGCUCAGGACUCAGCCUGGCUUUUGCUUGGUGUAUUUCCUGGGUAGCAAGUCAGCAUUGGUUUGGAUCGUCGGAGAAGCAUAGUCGGAAUGUGGCGCCCUCGGGCGUGUUAUAGCCUUCUAUUGGAUACGACGAUCUAGACCAAGGAACGCAGCGCGCCUUAUG
This 539-nucleotide ribosomal RNA is filed under the name Malassezia furfur. RNAcentral describes it as "eukaryotic LSU rRNA". It matches the Rfam family "Eukaryotic large subunit ribosomal RNA", at positions 67 to 611 of the family's 3401-position model. The record is from RNAcentral. Lineage: Eukaryota; Fungi; Basidiomycota; Malasseziomycetes; Malasseziales; Malasseziaceae.